UUCCCUUGUUCUUAACUUCAGAGACCAACACCAAUUACCCUGAACCCUAAAUCAUUUCCCCCUUUGACCUCCGCCCCCAUUUCCCAAACCUCUCUCUUUUCUCUCAAACCUUCAACCUCCAUCAGUCCCAAAUCCUUGCACAAAUAUGUGCAAGGUCACAUAAUUAAACCUCAUAACACUCAACAUGUCACUUACACCCAUGAAUCUCGCCGGAUUAUAUCCAUUUUCACCACUAGAUUUGAAAUUUCCAAUUCUGGAACCCUAAGCUCAAAAACACUAAUAGUCUGAUUUCUUCUUAGUUCUUUCAAAUCAAGCAUUCAUGGCCAUCCAUCUUGUCCCUGUACAGAGAAUCAUGCUAUUUUCUUUUCAUUUCCACCGAUGAAUUCAAAAUCCCUAAUUCUGAAACCGUAGAUCAAAAGGUGAAACCUAAAAUCAUCUGGUUUCUCUUUUGUUCUUUCAAAUCGGAGCAUGCAUGGAGCUCUUGCAGAGUUUCAUCAUGAGGAUUCGUUACCCAGAGGUCAAACGCAGUGACCUAUAGGUUUUAGAGUUUACCCGAUGGGUCUUCGCCUUCAACGGUCGACCUCUCCUCUCAGGUAAAAUUUAUCACUACGGAUGUUGCUUUAAGUUGAAUGAUCUACGUGUGGUUAAUAAAGAACCGUUAAUGAUUCCACACACCUGUUUUGACCUUAUACUUCUAUAAUGAUUUUGCUAUGACUCUUGUGUUUGUUCUAUUGAUCUUUAUCUUAGUGAUUAUUUGUUGAUAUGUAUUAUACACCUGAAGUUGCUUGCCUAACAGGCUUAGCUAUAGCAAUUAUGAACACUUAAGGGCAAAUAUAAGGCUGUCAUCACAGAUUUAAGUAUAUUAGCUUAUGUUAUUUUGAGUUGACCUUUUCCUUCUAAUGUGACUCUGUGAUUCUGUAACUCUUGAAAGGUCAUUGUAAUGAUUUUCUGUCAAUCUUCAUGAAUGUGUGAUCACAUCUAGAAUUUCAUUAUAUGAAUAUGUUCUGAAUCAACUGGAUUAAAUCCUACUAAGUUUCUGCACUUGUUCUUGUGUGUAUUCUGACAGUUGUUAUUCACUUAGUUUAAGCUAUCCCCUAGGAAUUUGAUUAAGUUGUAUUUGUGGUGUUUAUGUUUCAUCUGUUAUAUUAGGAUGCUAGGCUGACCCAGAUCAUGACUAAUGUUUACACCUAACUUGUAUAAUUGAAACAUGCUUACUCAAUGCGAAACAGUCUAUUAUUCUGACCUCCUGAAAUUAGUCUGUUGGUCUGAUCCCCAUGGUAUUUGAUACUCCACCCUGUUGUAGUCUUGUACAUUCUAAAGAAUGUCUCAUGUGUGUGUCUGUACAUCUUCUCUUUGGCUUUCUAUACUCUAUUAUGUCCUUACACAAAACAACAUGCUUAUCUCUCACACUCAUGCGUAUGUUCUCAUGCUGCACUGUCACAUAAGGGAAACUGAACCUUGCUAAGCCUCUAUAAGUUGGAUGUGACUGACUAAUAGACUUAAGAUGAACCUUCUGAUGUUAUCUAUCUUGCUUGAGUAUAAUAUUAUGUCACUCUUAAUGAACCUAGUGUGAAUAUAAGGUUAGGAACCUUUUAAGUAGAGAGUGAUCAUCUGUUAGGUUGAGACCAACUUGCUUGCUUAAGUACCCCUACUAGUGCUCUUUAGAGAUUUCAUAUGAAGCUGUUAACUCAUACAUCCAUUAGAAAUUGAGACUUAGUCUAUGUAUGAAGCCCUGAUUAACUUAAACAUAGGCUGUUAAGGUUGAGGAUCUCUAUAAACUUGAACUAUGUAUCUCCUCUACCUCUUACGCUAUAUGACUUAAUUAUUUGAACUUUUGAAAUAUCCUGCUGGUGUUCUCUUCGCUUAGUCGCACCUGUAAUUGGUUUCUCUGAGUAUUCUUCUGCAUAUUGGUAGUUCUUAACAGUGAACUACACACUGAUGUUUGGAUUGUGAUCUCCUUGGUGUUAUUUGUUAUCGCAUGUUCAUAGUAACAUUUUGAACAAUUCUUGUAAGAAGAGUACAUGUCUAAAUCUAUGUAUUGUUGUUACAGUUAUAUUGAAACUUACAAUGAAUACCUCAUUGGUAUUUAAACCUAUAGGGAGUAGUAAGUGUGAGUGUUUAGGGGUAUUUAGGAGUGAGAUUUAAUUUGUGGUUGAGAUACUCUCCCACUGCUAGGAGUCCUUGAGACCCUUGUGAACUUUGAAGUGCUAGGGAUCCAAAGAUUGUCUUGGCUAUGAAUGGAAUUUCACCUUAAGCCCUUAAUCAUUGACAUUUGUUAAUCUCUUUAGGGUUAGUGUCAGAUGAAAGAAAAGGCUUCACUGUAAUUUUCUUUACUCUAUUUGACCUUACACAGUUUUAUUUGCAUUCCUACUUACUAAUGUUUGUUACAGUUCUGUUGGGCCUUACAUUGAUAUCAUUUUUGUAUAAGUAUCAUGUUGGGACAUAUGUCUAAUGUAGUUCUUUCCUUUUUUUAACAUGUGACCAAACUGGGAAUGCUGAGUUCUCAAAGAACUCAGGCCCAAGUUCUAGCUCGAGUUGGAGUCGUUGAAGCUUCUGUCGCUUGUUUGAUGUUCGCUGGGUCUAACCUUCUUUAGGCCCAAACCUAUGAGUCCAUUCCCUCCCUUUAUCACUUUAUAUGAUCUGUUAUUAUUUUUAUGUAUGUGACACUCAUAAUAUUUGAGUGAAUAUUUUCUCUUAUCACUUUGAAUUACCUUAGGAAAUCUAGGCAAGCCCAAAAAUCAUAGGUAAAUUAAAAGAAGUAUUAUCUCUUACAUUAGCUAAAUAACCUCACAUGCUUAGUUAUUUUACUAUACAAUUUUUUUCAACUUUUUUACUUACACUAACUAUUUCUCAUGAAGCUCAUAAAGGUUAAAACAGAUUUAGAAAGGCAAGCAACUCUCUUUCUUUUAAAAGGCCAAAAUUGGAAAGUGAUUUCAAGGGCAGUUUUCUACUAACCAAAGUCGCGGUUAGAGGACACCUCAAACGAUCUUUCUAAACUUGGGUAUAAUAUUUAAAUCAAUCUUAAGGUAUAUCUAAAUCCUUUUUUUUAAAUAACCCAUGCUUUGCUAACGCCCUACAAAUAACCGUUCUUAUUUCAAAGGAGAAGCCUUUCAAACUUAGCCACUAUUUAGCAAAAUUUGCAAACAUAAACAUCUUGGAAAUACCUUUUAAAGUUCUUUCACUCAUAUAGCUAUAUACAUUUUAGAUUUUAUAAAAAUCUAUACUCCUUUCAAAUGCAUAUACUAUCUUUCAAAAGUGAUAAUUUCAGGCAUAAACAUAAGGUAAGUCACACACUUUUAAGUACUAAGUAAGAUAUACAUAUUUAAUUUCCCGAACCUAGUCUAAGUCCUAUGGAGCUACCUUAGGUAGAUUCUAGGGGGCGCCUAAUACCUUUCCCUUAGAAGAACAAAAAUCCUUACCCAAAAUCUCACUGGUUAGUAAACUAAUAGGAUAAUAAUUUAAUAGCUAAAACAGGUACCCUAGUAUACCUUUAAAUAUCAGGUGGCGACUCUCUUUUAUCAUCAACAGGGAAAUCACUAGUUGAAUCUUAUUUUUACUUAUGCAAAAUAGGGUGCAACAUUAUUAACAAGCCUCUGAUAAGUGGCUCCGGUGUUUUUAAGCCCAAAAGACAUCACAUUAUAGCAAUAUGUGCCAAAUUUUGUGAUGAAAGACGUCUUCUCUUGAUCUUCCGAGUUCAUCCUAAUUUGAUUAUACCCGAAAUAAGCAUCAAGAAAACUCAUUAACUCGUGUCUGAUCGUAGCAUCGAUCAUUUGAUCAAUAUUUGGCAAUGGAAAGAGUCUUUGGGGCAUGUAUUAUUUAAAUCCUUAUACUCUACACACAUCCUAAAUUUAUUAUUCUUUUUAGGCACUAGUACUAUGUUAGCUAGCCACUCCAGGUACUUUACCUCUCGAAUUGAAUCGAUAUUGAGCAAUCGAGUUACCUCUUCCUUAACAAACCUAUUUCUGACCUCUGCUAUCGGUCAUUUCUUCUGCCUUACCGAAGGGAAUUUUGGAUCCAGACUCAGUUUGUUGACUGCCACAUCCAACAGAAUACCUGUCAUAUCUGAAUACGACCAAGAAAAGUAAUCAACAUUAGAUUUAAGAAAAUCUAUGAGUUUUAACCUGAGUUCGGGACUCAAAUCCAUUCUUAAAUGGAACUCCCUUUCCAAAUAUUCUUUAAACAAAGCCACUUAUUCGAGUUCUUCUGCAGUGAAUUUGUUCGCAUCCGUCUCCUCCGGUACCUGGAAAGUUCUCGGUACCUGAUAUAAUUCUGAUGACUCCUCAUAUUUAUCAUCUUCGAUCUGGAUGUGUGGAGGCACCGAUUCCUGUAAAUGUUAUUUGCUGGUUUCCUUACCUUUGCUACUGGAAACGGUUACUGCAUUAAUCUCCCUUGCAGCUGAUUGAUCUCCUCUGAUCUACUUGACCCCUUCCGAUGUUGGAAACUUUAACAGUUGAUGGUAGGUCGAUGGUACGACCUUCAUUUCAUGUAUCCAAGGCUUUCCGAGGAUCACGUUAUAGCCCAUGUCGCCAUCUACCACUUCAAAUAGGGUGGUCUUUGUUACUUUUCACGACCCAAAAUCUAACUAGUCAUGAUGGAACCUAACCCAACCCGCUAGGUAGGCCAAUUAGCAACAAUCCGAUUCAAAUGAGAAUAACUGAGAAAAACAAAUGAUGAAAUAACUGAGCUUUUAUACGAAAUCCCAAGGAUUAGUAGUACAUCUCAUGAGCUUCUAAGACGUAGAGUUUACAAAGCUGGUAUGAAAUAAAUACAUCAUCUUUUCGAAAUAUACAUAAACAAAUUUAUACAUCUAAAGCUACCAAGAACAAGAGGAAGCUAUAACCGGAAUGCAAGUACAUCUCCAAUGCCUAAUCCCACCAUACGCAGCAACAUCAGCUCCGAAAUCUGCACGCAAGGUGAAGAAGUAUAGUAUGAGUACAACCGACCCCAUAUACUCAAUAAGUAACAAACCUAACCUUAGGUUGAAAGUAGUGACGAGAUAGGACAAAUGGUCAGAGUCCAACACCAAUAGCCAAGAAGAACUCGUAACAAUAUAAUGAAAACAGUACAAGUAAUAACUCAAGAUAUGAUGCUUAGCUCGCUCACAGUUACGAAAAAAUAGGAAUGCUUUUCAGGUAUAACAGUAAAACCCCAAAUCUUUCAUCGAGAUCACCAAAAUAGGAGUAUAUCAGAAAACUGUUAUUUUUCACACAAAUAAAAAAUAUUCAACAACAAAUAAGAUAUUUCAUUAUCAGAUAGCAUGAUGAAAGUACAUCUCUAUGCCUACAUGUCGUUGUGCAUGAGAAGUCAUGAAUGUCACAAUACCGUAUAGCAUGAGAAAAUGCAUCUCUAUGCCUACAUGCCAAGAUGCAUGUCAAAUGUAAUGCAUCACAGUGAUAAACUCAUGUACUCACACUCUCAAAGUACUCAAUCUCACUGUCUCACGCUCAAUCACUCGGCACACUCAAUCACUGGGUAUACUUAAUCACUCAGCACACUCAAUCACUUGGCAAUCGGUCACUCGGCACUCGGUACCAGCACUCACUGAUGGUAUGUCAGACUCCGGAGGGGUGGAUCCUACCCAAGUGCUAAUAUAAAGCCAAUCUGGCUGUUACACCCCAUGUUUUUCGUACGUGGAAGUAAGCCAUAAGUAAAUUGAUAUAAGCUCGGAAAUGAGAUGUUACAUUCCGCAUUUUUGUAUGUAAAAGUUUCGUCGUAAGCUAAUCGACGUAAAUUCGGGAAUGAGAUUAUUUUGGGAUUAUAAGUAUUACGCUAUUUCAAAGAAGUGAUAAGUAAAUUCGUGAAGGUGAGGGGGUAAGCAAAUCGAAGAAGAUGAGUUUCGUCGAAGUUUGACAUUUUGGGAUAAAAUACAGUCCAAGCUAUAAUACCCAAUAUUUAUGGACUAGUACCAUACAAGGUACCACAUGACCAUAGGUGUACAAAGUGUGUUCAAAGUAAAUAGUAUUCUAAGUAAUUUGAGAUUAUUUUUAAUUAUGUGGAUAAUUGGACAAUUAUUUAUUAAUGAGAAAUUAACCAAUUAAUUAAGGAAAUAAGUGGGCAAUUAUUGGAUAAGGAUUUAGUCUUUAAUGUGGCAGCCCACAAAGUCACAAAAAUGUGACUCUUAAAGCUCACCUUUAUGUGGAAUAUUAAGAAUAAUAGUGGCUUAGUCAUACAAAGAGUGGGGCCACUCUCUUUAGUAAAAACUUCUAACAUAAACCAUUAAAAUACAUGUUAUAUUUGCAAUUUGAGGAGAUUGGCAAUUCAAGCCACCAGUAUGCUAAAGUUAGUCCUCCUAGGGGCGGCAAUAUAGAUUACUUACAUCCUAAAGGUGGGCCAAGAGAUACUAGUGAUUAUGGUCAUUCAUAUGAAAGGACUAGUUUGCUUGAACAUGCAGUACUUGACAAAAGGCAUGCUCGGGCACCUAUUCUUUUGGAACCCCUUAGAGAGAAUAUUGUUGAUGCCGAGUUUCCUCGAAGAGAUGUCAUUGACAGCAGUUCAUGGGAUCACCAUUCAUUCAAUAAACAGUCAGUUUGAAAGAACUUUCUUGGUUGAAAGCAAACGGAUGAAGCUUCAAAUAUGUAUUUGCAAUUCUAAGAGAUUUGCAACGAAGAUAUACUGUGUAAUCGUAACGGGAUUUUGCGAUUCUAAGAAAGCACGGUACAACCUUUUCCAAGAAUAUCAUACAGAUUUAUUUCUACUCCAGGUAUGUUAAGGCUAUUCCUUCUUUCUUUUGGCAUGAUCUAUACGACACAAACGAAACGAGCAAAUACACAACUUUCAUAAAUGACUCUAUUCAUAGAAAUACUAGGGGUGUCUAUAUUCUCGAUUUCCCAUGUGAAUUAUUAUUAUAUCUUUUGUUCAUGGGUCUCAGAAAAAUAUGUAUUUGAUAAAGUCUAUCCGACAGGCAUAUUAUUUUUAUGACAUUCCGAGAAAUCUUAUUAAUGUAUUUCAUAUGCAUUUCAUUCAUUUAUACAUGUAAAGUGACCCAUGACCAGAUGGCGUUAUAUAUGCGUAUAUUAUAUGUAUAUGGGAUAUGGAAAAAGGUUACGUCGUUAUAUACGCACCACCACUUGAUCAGCUGGUAUACGUUGAUGAUUUUGCCCACAAUGGCCGAGCUGAUAUGAUGGAAUGCCCUCAUAUCAUGUACAUGUACCUAUGCACGAUAUGACAUUCAUACGCAUACGCAUGACACUAUGAGUAUUUCAUGAUUUACAGAGUUAUUCAGACUUACAUGUCGAGUCUUUUACUCCAUGUUUCUCUCAUGUCUAUUAUUUACUGAUUUUCAUUCCUUACAUACUUGGUACAUUAUUUGUACUGACGUUCCUUUUUUCUGGGGGCGCUAUAUUUCAUGUCCGCAGGUCCCGAUAGACAGGUCGAGAGUCCUCUAAGCAGGCUAUCAGCUCAGCGAAAUAUGUUGGUGCGCUCUAUUUGCUCCGGAGUUGCUUAUUUGGUCAGUACGAUUUAGACAUGUAUUGAUUAGUAUGUCGGGGCCCUAUCUCGGCCUUAUAACAUUUAUGUACUCUUAGAGGCUUGUAGACAUAUGCCAUGUAUAUGAAAGAUUGUAUGGCCUUGUCGGCCUAUGUUCAGUAUACGAGUGAUUAUUUUGGCAUUAUAGGCCCGUACGUCAUAUGUAUAAGUCAGUAUAUCAGGUUGGGUCGUGUUAUGUCGAGUGUUCCCUCAUGUUUUAUUCUUGUUACCUCAUAUGACCCUUUUGGCCCAUUUACCCAUGUUGAUGUGAUGAGAAAGAUACGUUGCGUUGGUACUCGGUUGAGUAAGUGUCACGCCCCAACCUCGGGGAGCGCGACCGGCGCUCAACCGAGUGAACUCGGUCGAGCAAGCCUAUUAAACCUUUGCUACCCGACUCAUUCAUAAUCCAAAAAGGGAACGCAUCACCAUUUGUAAAACAGGGG
RNAcentral lists this long non-coding RNA (7907 nucleotides) under Nicotiana tabacum (common tobacco). RNAcentral describes it as "long non-coding RNA (NTAB_LNC002929)". Lineage: Eukaryota; Viridiplantae; Streptophyta; Magnoliopsida; Solanales; Solanaceae. The record is from RNAcentral.